GAAUCGUAAUUGUAUAAUAAUUCGAAUGAAAUUGCCAUGUUGGAUUUUGGCAGCAUAUGAAAUUUAUAAUGAUAAUCAUCGUCUCGUAAUUAGAGAUUUCCGAGCAUUGGGAGAAUACAGCACUAAAACACAUACCUAGUCUUAUAAUUAUGUUUACUGUUUUUUCUUCAUAUUCAUCGAGGAAUUUCUCGAGCCGAGAACAAAACAAAAACAGCCGAACGUUCGAAACUCUCAAGGAUAAACAGUAACGUAUCUCAUUUCCCUUCCGUCCUUCAACACGUUAAGAUCGGUAAAAGAGAAUGACGCAUUAAACUA
Molecule: long non-coding RNA, 315 nt
Filed under: Polistes fuscatus (common paper wasp)
Lineage: Eukaryota; Metazoa; Arthropoda; Insecta; Hymenoptera; Vespidae
Description: uncharacterized LOC122522944
Source: RNAcentral